This 128-nucleotide non-coding RNA is filed under the name Anaerostipes sp. 992a. RNAcentral's name for it is "azaaromatic riboswitch aptamer (yjdF RNA)". It matches the Rfam family "azaaromatic riboswitch aptamer (yjdF RNA)". Lineage: Bacteria; Bacillati; Bacillota; Clostridia; Lachnospirales; Lachnospiraceae. RNAcentral also lists the same sequence under 1 other name. The record is from Rfam by way of RNAcentral.
AAUAGCAAGGAUAAAAACGCAACGUGUGUAGCAAUACAUACUAGAGCCGGUAGGUAGCCCGGCCGUCACGUAAGGAUUCGUGGUAAGUAACCUGCCCCUCCGGGUUGUCCGUUCUUUGCUCAUCAAUC